Molecule: long non-coding RNA, 784 nt
Organism: Aedes aegypti (yellow fever mosquito)
Lineage: Eukaryota; Metazoa; Arthropoda; Insecta; Diptera; Culicidae
Exons: 2
Source: RefSeq, a predicted model, not a curated record
UCCAGAAACUCGGAAAGUACUGGGCUACAUUUUGUUUAUAGAACAAAGCUUCUAUGGAAUCAUCACCAAGGAAACCAGAAAAUUGGCCUUCGAUUUAGCUAAUCAAAAUGGUAUCAAUUAUCCAUUCAACAAAGAUAAUAAGAUUGCUGGAAACCAUUGGCUGAGUGCCUGAAGCAACCUCAGAAGCCAGGGCACAAGAAGUUAACCGUGUGGCUGUGGACAAGUUUUUCAAUCGGUAUGAAACAACCAGUCGUUCAAAGAACAUUCCGGAUCACAAAGUUUUUAACGUAGACGAAACUUCCAUCGUUGCGUAAUUUUGCUCCAUCAAUUGUUACUGACAUAACAUUCCCGGAUGCAUUAGCUAGUGGUGCAGUAGAUCCAGCAGAAGAAGCAAUGGAAGAUCCAGAUCUCGGGAGUAGAUUACCGAGGUUAUCGCUAUGACAUCAAAGAGGGACACGAAAUUUUCUAGUUUUCCCGAUUCUGAUGAUGAAGGCUCAUUUUACGGGUUUGGUUUACAAGUGCCUGGUACAGCUUCAUCUACCAAGAACAAGGUACAGAAGACAGAGCCACAGAAAAUCGACCAAACAAAGACCACUUGUGAAACUGAAGAUUUAGAGUUAUCGCUUGCGACGGUAUCAGUCUUCACCAAGACCUAAGAAGGUUGUUUCAACGUUUCUCCCUUCUCAAUUCGGCCGUUACCAAAAUCAAGUUGCAGAAAGACAAUGUCCAUGAGAAAAAGCUUCCAUCCUCACAUUGAGUUCGAAUCGAGAAUUUUGUACGGAGA